This 2391-nucleotide long non-coding RNA is filed under the name Nicotiana benthamiana. RNAcentral's name for it is "long non-coding RNA (NBEN_LNC026120)". Lineage: Eukaryota; Viridiplantae; Streptophyta; Magnoliopsida; Solanales; Solanaceae. The record is from RNAcentral.
AAACCAAAGGGCGCCCUCUCAACCUCACGCUGCUGCCGCUUGCCUACCAGCCGGAAUUGGGCGAUUCCACUCACCCGAGUCCCAUGGUCCCCCUCCCCUCAUCUCUCACAUCCACAUCAUCAAAAUCUCAACAAACUCUGACAUCACGGAAUAUUCUCGUUCCGUCUCGCAAUUUUCUUUCAUCUUUUGGACGAAUUUUGGAAAGAACGGGAGCAGUAGGAUUUGAAUUACUAAAAUUCUAUCCUUCUAUUUUAUCCGAAAUUUGUUGAAAAAGAGCAAAAGAUCAGGAAAUUUUUGGAUUUUUUUGGCUUGGAGAGCUAGCAUGGAAGUUUAGGGAGCUUCUAUAUCUUUGGAGCUCGUUUUCAAACCAAAGGAAAUUUUGGGACAGAAAUUUCGAAUUGAGAAGAAAUUAGGGUUCUUUCUUUGAUCCGGAGUUUUUUUGACUUUCCAAUUUUCUUUCUUUCAAAAUUCAAAAAAAGGAGUUUGUGUUUCUUUCAAGUUUUGUUUCUAACUCAGAAAAUCAGAAACAUAUAAAAGAUCUUAAUUCUUUUUUUCCUGGAUUUGGCUUCAAAUGUGGAAUUCGAUUAAAGUUUGACUUCGAGGUUUGCAUCUGGUUUGAGAUUCGAGGUGCUGUCCGAGGUUUAACGUCAGUGAUUCUUGGUCCAAUUUAGCCACUGUACUUGCUCGAUUCCAUUUCAUUGUUAUAUUUCUUUGUCUGAACAUUCAAGGUCGAAUUUAUUGAAAAUUUUCAGUUCAGGUUCGUUUCUAAUUCUUUUACUUUUAUUUUGGCGUCAAUUCAAAGUAUUAUAAGAGCCUAGUUAGAUUGCAAUAUGUUUAAGAGUCCAUUUAGCCGUUAAUGGUUUGGAGUUGAUAUUAUGUCCUACUUUGAUAUAUAUUAUGUUUCUGUUUUGAAAUUAAGUUCGCUUUAUUUGGAAUAAAUAUUCUACUCUACUUUGAUAUACAUCAUGUUUCUGUUUUGAAGUUAAACUCGCUGUUAACUUUGUUCGAUCUUUUAAAGUUCCUAAAAUCUGUCUGUUCAUAUGGCCUAUGGAUAAACAAUACACUUCCUUAGCAGUUUGAAACAAUGUUUUAUAUGUUUGGUUAAAAUUAUGUGUGAAACAAAAUGUAUAUUCAAGUCGCUUUGCUUAAAACUAUUUGCUGAAGAUGUCCUCAGUUUCUCGCUGCCUUUGUUGGCUCUGUUUAACGUCGCCUCUAUUUCUAUUUUAUUAGUUGGUCAGUGAUGGUAUUUAACCAUCUUUAUUAUUCAAAGAUGGGUCGCGGUUUUCCCUAAAAGGAGCCUCAACCUGGCUAUAAAUUCCCUGUUGCAUCUGCAGGUGCUAAUAAUUCAAUACUUGAACUUGUGAGUUGUUUCCCCACGCAUUCAGUUUGGUCGCGCACUUUGUAAGAUCGAGUAGGGUGUGUUUUUUAGCAGAUUGUGGUGUUAAGUAGUUGUUAUUCGAUUGUUGAUCACGCUCAGUUUCUUGUGUUGCAAACUAUCAACAAUUUUCAUGUGUUUCUUUGAGAUGUGAUGGAUAAGAAAUGCCUAGGAUUGAACUACUUUGUUUCAAUGAACUUUGAAUAGACUUUGUCAUUCUGAUUGUUUGUUUGAAUGUUUAGUACUCCUGUAGAAUCAUCUAUAUACUUUAAUGAAUUGAGCUGAAGCAUGUAAAGUGUGAGAGGAGAAGUUAGUGAUCUAUCAAGAACUCCAGCUUCUAGCUUGUCAAUAAUUAAGGAGUCCCAUUUUCCUUGAGUGACUAUUGAACCUUGAAUAGAUGAAUUACUUUCUGAAUUUUGUGAAUGGGUCUUCUCUAACCGAGAGCAAGGUGGGAAAUUCUUGGAGGGAAGUAUGUCGGGGGUCUAUUUGGAAACAGCCUCUCUAUCCAAGGAUAGGGUUAAGGUCUGCAUACAUACUACCCUACCCAGACCCCACUAAGUAGGAUUAUACUGGGUUGUUGUUGUUGUUGUUGGUCUUUUCUAGAUGUGCCUGUUGAUGUGUGUCUGAAAUUCUAACGCCCUCGAAAAUGCGUUGGAGAAGAAUUUAGUAUAUGAGAAGGAGAAUUGUAGCAUGUUUGCAUAGUGAGCAUGAUUAGGAUCUAUUUUGAGCAGUUUGGUUCUUUCGGGAAUUUUUUAUGAUGGGAAAUGAUGUGAGUUUUAUCAUAUUGCUAAUUCAUCUACUUUGUUUUGGUUUUCUCUUAACCAUCACGUCUGUACAUGUGUUUAUAGGAACCAUGCUUUUGGAUAAUUUUGUGCUAGACAUGCACAUGAGCAACAAAAUUUUUAAUAUAUUGUGGGGAAGGGGAAGGUAAAAGCCAAAGCCCAUUUAGCAAUUAAUUUGUUCUAUGCUUUAGGUAUCAGGUUCGGCCUAGUAAAAAUGAAAAGUUAAAACAAAUC